CGGCACGCUUCAUACAUGCAAGUCGAGGGGCAGCAUAAAGUACUUGUACUUUGAUGGCGACCGGCGAACGGGUGCGUAACGCGUAUGCAACUUACCUUUUACUAGAGAAUAGCCAAGAGAAAUUUUGAUUAAUGCUCUAUACUCUUUUUAACUCACAUGAGUUUUUAAGAAAAGCUCCGGCGGUAAAAGAUGAGCAUGCGUCCUAUUAGUUUGUAGGUGAGGUAACGGCUCACCUAGACUACGAUAGGUAGGGGCCCUGAGAGGGGGAUCCCCCACACUGGUACUGAGACACGGACCAGACUCCUACGGGAGGCAGCAGUAAGGAAUAUUGGACAAUGGACGAAAGUCUGAUCCAGCCAUGCCGCGUGCAGGAUGAAAGCCCUAUGGGUUGUAAACUGCUUUUAUACAGGAAGAAACACUCCGACGUGUCGGAGCUUGACGGUACUGUAAGAAUAAGGAUCGG
This 463-nucleotide ribosomal RNA is filed under the name uncultured Bacteroidota bacterium. Its description in RNAcentral is "bacterial SSU rRNA". It matches the Rfam family "Bacterial small subunit ribosomal RNA", at positions 40 to 496 of the family's 1533-position model. The record is from RNAcentral. Lineage: Bacteria; Pseudomonadati; Bacteroidota.